This 678-nucleotide ribosomal RNA is filed under the name Escherichia coli. RNAcentral's name for it is "partial 23S ribosomal RNA". It matches the Rfam family "Bacterial large subunit ribosomal RNA", at positions 2121 to 2798 of the family's 2925-position model. The record is from RNAcentral. Lineage: Bacteria; Pseudomonadati; Pseudomonadota; Gammaproteobacteria; Enterobacterales; Enterobacteriaceae.
ACAUUGAGCCUUGAUGUGUAGGAUAGGUGGGAGGCUUUGAAGUGUGGACGCCAGUCUGCAUGGAGCCGACCUUGAAAUACCACCCUUUAAUGUUUGAUGUUCUAACGUGGACCCGUGAUCCGGGUUGCGGACAGUGUCUGGUGGGUAGUUUGACUGGGGCGGUCUCCUCCUAAAGAGUAACGGAGGAGCACGAAGGUUGGCUAAUCCUGGUCGGACAUCAGGAGGUUAGUGCAAUGGCAUAAGCCAGCUUGACUGCGAGCGUGACGGCGCGAGCAGGUGCGAAAGCAGGUCAUAGUGAUCCGGUGGUUCUGAAUGGAAGGGCCAUCGCUCAACGGAUAAAAGGUACUCCGGGGAUAACAGGCUGAUACCGCCCAAGAGUUCAUAUCGACGGCGGUGUUUGGCACCUCGAUGUCGGCUCAUCACAUCCUGGGGCUGAAGUAGGUCCCAAGGGUAUGGCUGUUCGCCAUUUAAAGUGGUACGCGAGCUGGGUUUAGAACGUCGUGAGACAGUUCGGUCCCUAUCUGCCGUGGGCGCUGGAGAACUGAGGGGGGCUGCUCCUAGUACGAGAGGACCGGAGUGGACGCAUCACUGGUGUUCGGGUUGUCAUGCCAAUGGCACUGCCCGGUAGCUAAAUGCGGAAGAGAUAAGUGCUGAAAGCAUCUAAGCACGAAACUUGCC